Long non-coding RNA from Monopterus albus (swamp eel), 525 nucleotides. RefSeq lists it as uncharacterized. NCBI's taxonomy places the organism in Eukaryota, Metazoa, Chordata, Actinopteri, Synbranchiformes, Synbranchidae. The transcript has 4 exons. The record is from RefSeq and is a predicted model, not a curated record.
GAUCACACUUGUGUGGGGCUCAGAAACAUCCUGCCCAACUUGACAAGCUUCUCCUCGCACAGUACAGUGGGACCUCCAAACCAACUCUCUCACAAUGAGGAUCCACCUGUGGAGGAAAACAUUACAGAAAAGAGCCCAAGUGCUGCACACCCUGCCGCCUCCUUCAAAAAGAAAAGCAUGCCAAAUAUUCCCCGCCGUAAGCGAUCGCACCCUGAGGGAUGGGAAGACUGGCCAGUACUCGGAGAGGGUUGGAAACGAAAAGAAGUUGUUCGGCGCUCAGGUAGCAGCAAGGGCAGGAAGGAUGUAUAUUACCGAAGUCCAGAGGGUAUUCUGGUGAGGAGCAAAGUAAAACUGGCCUCAUUACUCGAGGGACGUGACUUGUCAACCUUUGAGUACAAGACAGGAAAGUUCCAUGAUGGUGAAAUACCACCCACAAGAUUUUGAAACAGAGCAAAGAAAAAGAUCCGUGAGAGUUCUUCAUCAGAGUCCAGCAUUGUGGAGAGAGGAGAGGCAACUGACAACAGC